Molecule: long non-coding RNA, 305 nt
Filed under: Hordeum vulgare
Lineage: Eukaryota; Viridiplantae; Streptophyta; Magnoliopsida; Poales; Poaceae
Description: long non-coding RNA (HVUL_LNC004444)
Source: RNAcentral
UCACCAUGGAAGAAGUCGCAAGAAGAUCUACCACGUCGUCUCCAUUCCGGGAUCUGUCGCCCGCGCCGCCGCCUCCCUGCCCUCUUUGCCGUUGCCGUCGUCCAUUGCCGCAGACGCCUCCUCCUCACUGGCGAGAUGGUACGACCUCCCCUUACCGCGCUCCAGGAUGCCAAGUUUCAGCUUUCGCCGCCUCCUGCCACUCAUGGCGACCGCCGCGUCGCCCCCUCACCCACCACGCCCGGGACCCCAUGGCGGCCCGUGUCCUGGUCCCCAUGGCUAUCGGCCUUUUCCCCUCGCCCCCAUGG